UUAUCUCAGCAGUAAAAAGCUGCAGCAGUUCUUGGAUUUGAACCCAGGUGUGCUGUGACAGCUUCAGAUGUCCUGCUGUGUGCUCUGACCACUACACCAUCACCACACACAUAAACCCACAUUUCUUUCUCCAAUGGGAGGAUAACCACAUUCUACACAUUUUGAAAAAAAAAAUUAAAUAAACACAAAUAAUUCAUAUCAAAUGUAAAUUAUUUUAAAUAAAUGUAAACUGCAUCAUAUGCGAAUAUAUUAUUAUAUUUCACUAUUCAAAAUGUGGAAAACAUGCUUAUUCUUCAAUCAGACACAUGAACAUGUUUCAAAUUAUCUUACAGCUGCUUGUGGGGCUUUAAAUGUCACUAAACACAAUUAAACACUGGAAAAUAUCAUCAUUUACUUCUAAAGUCUCCUCAUACUGUACUGAUGACUCUACACCAAAUCUGGCCAAUCACAUGCUCUCCACAGAAAGUCCCUCCCCCAACAAACACGCGACAGAGCAGCAGCACAACAAACACACUUUCUGGACUCUCUACUGGAAAUAUGAGCUCAUAAAUACCUUUCCUGGAGCUGUGAAUCCGCCUGGAUGUGGAGGAGCGUGUGGAGGAGCGUCAGCUGUUGAGCGCAGCUCAAAGAUCUGCAGCAGAAACACAACAGACACACGUGUGUAUCUUCACUGCUGCAGAGGAGAGAGAGAGAGAGAGCAAUGACUGAACACAAACACUACAACAACAUCACUACAAACUAAACCAACGAAGCAAAGUCCCUUACAGGAUCAGUGAAGUGUUGUGGACUGUAAGUCUGUUGAACAGAAGCAGAGACGAGUGGACAGACACUGACUGUACUGAUGAUGAUCAUCUGCUGCUGCACAGGCUAUAAAGUAUAACCCCUGCUGGACACGGCUCCGGAAGCUCCAGGGGGAGACCGAACUGGUAUCCCCCCUUCUUCAGGCGCGCCUCACACUCACUCACCAUUCACUCAUAUCGCAGAGUUCUGGCUGGCCUUGAACCAGCAACCCCUGAAGCCGUGGGGCAGCGCUCUUACCACAGAGCCACAGAUCUCCAUGUCUGAACACUUGCUGGAACUGAUGUUGGACUGCUGACCUGUGUGUGAGCUGAUUCAAUAAAACAAGAUAUAUGUCAGAUCUGAA
Danio rerio (zebrafish) is the source of this 1144-nucleotide non-coding RNA. The record is from RefSeq and is a predicted model, not a curated record. Lineage: Eukaryota; Metazoa; Chordata; Actinopteri; Cypriniformes; Danionidae.